UACGGAGGGUGCAAGCGUUGUCCGGAUUUAUUGGGUUUAAAGGGUGCGUAGGCGGAUAUGUAAGUCCGUGGUGAAAUCUCUGGGCUUAACCCGGAAACUGCCAUGGAUACUAUGUGUCUUGAAUGUUGUUGAGGUGAGCGGAAUAUGUCAUGUAGCGGUGAAAUGCUUAGAUAUGACAUAGAACACCAAUUGCGAAGGCAGCUCACUAAGCAAAUAUUGACGCUGAGGCACGAAAGCGUGGGGAUCAAACAGG
RNAcentral lists this ribosomal RNA (253 nucleotides) under uncultured bacterium. RNAcentral describes it as "partial 16S ribosomal RNA". It matches the Rfam family "Bacterial small subunit ribosomal RNA", at positions 524 to 776 of the family's 1533-position model. The record is from RNAcentral.